UUUCCAGACUCCUACGGGAGGCAGCAGUGGGGAAUAUUGCACAAUGGGGGAAACCCUGAUGCAGCGACGCCGCGUGAGCGAUGAAGUAUUUCGGUAUGUAAAGCUCUAUCAGCAGGGAAGAAAAUGACGGUACCUGACUAAGAAGCCCCGGCUAACUACGUGCCAGCAGCCGCGGUAAUACGUAGGGGGCAAGCGUUAUCCGGAUUUACUGGGUGUAAAGGGAGCGUAGACGGCAUGGCAAGCCAGAUGUGAAAUACCGGGGUUCAACCCCGGGACUGCAUUUGGAACUGUUAAGCUGGAGUGUCGGAGAGGCAGGCGGAAUUCCUAGUGUAGCGGUGAAAUGCGUAGAUAUUAGGAGGAACACCAGUGGCGAAGGCGGCCUGCUGGACGAUAACUGACGUUGAGGCUCGAAGGCGUGGGGAGCAAACAGGAUUAGAUACCCCAGUA
Molecule: ribosomal RNA, 447 nt
Filed under: uncultured bacterium
Lineage: Bacteria
Description: bacterial SSU rRNA
Rfam family: Bacterial small subunit ribosomal RNA
Source: RNAcentral